This 2928-nucleotide ribosomal RNA is filed under the name Bacillus velezensis. Its description in RNAcentral is "bacterial LSU rRNA". It matches the Rfam family "Bacterial large subunit ribosomal RNA". Lineage: Bacteria; Bacillati; Bacillota; Bacilli; Caryophanales; Bacillaceae. The record is from RNAcentral.
UUAAGUUAGAAAGGGCGCACGGUGGAUGCCUUGGCACUAGGAGCCGAUGAAGGACGGGACGAACACCGAUAUGCUUCGGGGAGCUGUAAGCAAGCUUUGAUCCGGAGAUUUCCGAAUGGGGAAACCCACCACUCGUAAUGGAGUGGUAUCCAUAUCUGAAUACAUAGGAUAUGAGAAGGCAGACCCGGGGAACUGAAACAUCUAAGUACCCGGAGGAAGAGAAAGCAAAUGCGAUUCCCUGAGUAGCGGCGAGCGAAACGGGACCAGCCCAAACCAAGAGGCUUGCCUCUUGGGGUUGUAGGACACUCUGUACGGAGUUACAAAGGAACGAGGUAGAUGAAGAGGUCUGGAAAGGCCCGCCAUAGGAGGUAACAGCCCUGUAGUCAAAACUUCGUUCUCUCCUGAGUGGAUCCUGAGUACGGCGGAACACGUGAAAUUCCGUCGGAAUCCGGGAGGACCAUCUCCCAAGGCUAAAUACUCCCUAGUGACCGAUAGUGAACCAGUACCGUGAGGGAAAGGUGAAAAGUACCCCGGAAGGGGAGUGAAAGAGAUCCUGAAACCGUGUGCCUACAAGUAGUCAGAGCCCGUUAACGGGUGAUGGCGUGCCUUUUGUAGAAUGAACCGGCGAGUUACGAUCCCGUGCAAGGUUAAGCAGAAGAUGCGGAGCCGCAGCGAAAGCGAGUCUGAAUAGGGCGAAUUGAGUACGUGGUCGUAGACCCGAAACCAGGUGAUCUACCCAUGUCCAGGGUGAAGUUCAGGUAACACUGAAUGGAGGCCCGAACCCACGCACGUUGAAAAGUGCGGGGAUGAGGUGUGGGUAGGGGUGAAAUGCCAAUCGAACCUGGAGAUAGCUGGUUCUCUCCGAAAUAGCUUUAGGGCUAGCCUCAAGGUAAGAGUCUCGGAGGUAGAGCACUGAUUGGACUAGGGGCCCCUACCGGGUUACCGAAUUCAGUCAAACUCCGAAUGCCGAUGACUUAUCCUUGGGAGUCAGACUGCGAGUGAUAAGAUCCGUAGUCGAAAGGGAAACAGCCCAGACCGCCAGCUAAGGUCCCAAAGUAUACGUUAAGUGGAAAAGGAUGUGGAGUUGCUUAGACAACCAGGAUGUUGGCUUAGAAGCAGCCACCAUUUAAAGAGUGCGUAAUAGCUCACUGGUCGAGUGACUCUGCGCCGAAAAUGUACCGGGGCUAAACGUAUCACCGAAGCUGCGGACUGUUCUUCGAACAGUGGUAGGAGAGCGUUCUAAGGGCUGUGAAGCAAGACCGGAAGGACUUGUGGAGCGCUUAGAAGUGAGAAUGCCGGUAUGAGUAGCGAAAGAGGGGUGAGAAUCCCCUCCACCGAAUGCCUAAGGUUUCCUGAGGAAGGCUCGUCCGCUCAGGGUUAGUCGGGACCUAAGCCGAGGCCGAAAGGCGUAGGCGAUGGAUAACAGGUUGAUAUUCCUGUACCACCUCCUCACCAUUUGAGCAAUGGGGGGACGCAGGAGGAUAGGGUAAGCGCGGUAUUGGAUAUCCGCGUCCAAGCAGUUAGGCUGGGAAAUAGGCAAAUCCGUUUCCCGUGAAGGCUGAGCUGUGAUGGCGAGCGAAUUAUAGUAGCGAAGUUCCUGAUUCCACACUGCCAAGAAAAGCCUCUAGCGAGGUGAGAGGUGCCCGUACCGCAAACCGACACAGGUAGGCGAGGAGAGAAUCCUAAGGUGAUCGAGAGAACUCUCGUUAAGGAACUCGGCAAAAUGACCCCGUAACUUCGGGAGAAGGGGUGCUCUGUUAGGGUGCAAGCCCGAGAGAGCCGCAGUGAAUAGGCCCAGGCGACUGUUUAGCAAAAACACAGGUCUCUGCGAAGCCGUAAGGCGAAGUAUAGGGGCUGACGCCUGCCCGGUGCUGGAAGGUUAAGAGGAGCGCUUAGCGUAAGCGAAGGUGCGAAUUGAAGCCCCAGUAAACGGCGGCCGUAACUAUAACGGUCCUAAGGUAGCGAAAUUCCUUGUCGGGUAAGUUCCGACCCGCACGAAAGGCGCAACGAUCUGGGCACUGUCUCAACGAGAGACUCGGUGAAAUUAUAGUACCUGUGAAGAUGCAGGUUACCCGCGACAGGACGGAAAGACCCCGUGGAGCUUUACUGCAGCCUGAUAUUGAAUGUUGGUACAGCUUGUACAGGAUAGGUAGGAGCCUUGGAAACCGGAGCGCCAGCUUCGGUGGAGGCAUCGGUGGGAUACUACCCUGGCUGUAUUGACCUUCUAACCCGCCGCCCUUAUCGGGCGGGGAGACAGUGUCAGGUGGGCAGUUUGACUGGGGCGGUCGCCUCCUAAAAGGUAACGGAGGCGCCCAAAGGUUCCCUCAGAAUGGUUGGAAAUCAUUCGCAGAGUGUAAAGGCACAAGGGAGCUUGACUGCGAGACCUACAAGUCGAGCAGGGACGAAAGUCGGGCUUAGUGAUCCGGUGGUUCCGCAUGGAAGGGCCAUCGCUCAACGGAUAAAAGCUACCCCGGGGAUAACAGGCUUAUCUCCCCCAAGAGUCCACAUCGACGGGGAGGUUUGGCACCUCGAUGUCGGCUCAUCGCAUCCUGGGGCUGUAGUCGGUCCCAAGGGUUGGGCUGUUCGCCCAUUAAAGCGGUACGCGAGCUGGGUUCAGAACGUCGUGAGACAGUUCGGUCCCUAUCCGUCGCGGGCGCAGGAAAUUUGAGAGGAGCUGUCCUUAGUACGAGAGGACCGGGAUGGACGCACCGCUGGUGUACCAGUUGUUCUGCCAAGGGCAUCGCUGGGUAGCUAUGUGCGGACGGGAUAAGUGCUGAAAGCAUCUAAGCAUGAAGCCCCCCUCAAGAUGAGAUUUCCCAUUCCGCAAGGAAGUAAGAUCCCUGAAAGAUGAUCAGGUUGAUAGGUCUGAGGUGGAAGUGUGGCGACACAUGGAGCUGACAGAUACUAAUCGAUCGAGGACUUAACCAA